RNAcentral lists this transfer RNA (64 nucleotides) under Cloresmus pulchellus. RNAcentral describes it as "tRNA-Trp". Lineage: Eukaryota; Metazoa; Arthropoda; Insecta; Hemiptera; Coreidae. The record is from RNAcentral.
AAAGCUUUAAGUUAAAUUAAACUAUUAGCCUUCAAAGCUGGAAAUAUAUAAUGUAUAAGCUUUA